GAUGAACGCUGGCGGCGUGCUUAACACAUGCAAGUCGAACGGAAAGGCCCUGCUUUUGUGGGGUGCUCGAGUGGCGAACGGGUGAGUAACACGUGAGUAACCUGCCCUUGACUUUGGGAUAACUUCAGGAAACUGGGGCUAAUACCGGAUAGGAGCUCCUGCUGCAUGGUGGGGGUUGGAAAGUUUCGGCGGUUGGGGAUGGACUCGCGGCUUAUCAGCUUGUUGGUGGGGUAGUGGCUUACCAAGGCUUUGACGGGUAGCCGGCCUGAGAGGGUGACCGGCCACAUUGGGACUGAGAUACGGCCCAGACUCCUACGGGAGGCAGCAGUGGGGAAUAUUGCACAAUGGGCGGAAGCCUGAUGCAGCAACGCCGCGUGCGGGAUGACGGCCUUCGGGUUGUAAACCGCUUUCGCCUGUGACGAGGCGUGAGUGACGGUAAUGGGUAAAGAAGCACCGGCUAACUACGUG
RNAcentral lists this ribosomal RNA (468 nucleotides) under uncultured bacterium. RNAcentral describes it as "partial 16S ribosomal RNA". It matches the Rfam family "Bacterial small subunit ribosomal RNA", at positions 28 to 507 of the family's 1533-position model. The record is from RNAcentral.